This 253-nucleotide ribosomal RNA is filed under the name uncultured bacterium. RNAcentral describes it as "partial 16S ribosomal RNA". It matches the Rfam family "Bacterial small subunit ribosomal RNA", at positions 524 to 776 of the family's 1533-position model. The record is from RNAcentral.
UACAGAGGGUGCAAGCGUUGUUCGGAAUUAUUGGGCGUAAAGAGCUCGUAGGCGGUUUGUUGCGUCGGCUGUGAAAUCCCGAGGCUCAACCUCGGGUCUGCAGUCGAUACGAGCAAACUAGAGUGUUGCAGGGGAGACUGGAAUUCCUGGUGUAGCGGUGAAAUGCGCAGAUAUCAGGAGGAACACCGGUGGCGAAGGCGGGUCUCUGGGCAACAACUGACGCUGAGGAGCGAAAGCGUGGGUAGCGAACAGG